AGAAGUAUGAUUGGAGAAGACCAAAGAAAUAGGCUAAAUGUCUGCUGGCUACAAGACAUCUCUGGAAGUUGGACAUUUGGGCUCAUUAGAUAAUACCCUUGCCAUCAUUUGCCUCUUUCUACUGGAAGCAGAGUAAGAAGACUCAGGGAUAAAAGGGAAGUCUGAUCUAAGAGCCAAGUGCUUUAUCCUUUGUUCUGCCUGUCCGACAGGAAAAGUUAUUACAAACUUUGUAGUUCUGGGUGAGGGGAAAGGUUAAAGACCUGGCAAAGGACAGAUCUCUUUUGCUUUCUCUUUGUCAUCGGUGGUAACCUAGGCUUGAAUUUCAUGAGA
Molecule: long non-coding RNA, 330 nt
Filed under: Bos taurus (domestic cattle)
Lineage: Eukaryota; Metazoa; Chordata; Mammalia; Artiodactyla; Bovidae
Description: long non-coding RNA NONBTAT018204
Source: RNAcentral